GACGAACGCUGGCGGCGUGCUCAACACAUGCAAGUCGAACGGUAAGGCCCUUCGGGGUACACGAGUGGCGAACGGGUGAGUAACACGUGGGUGAUCUGCCCUGCACUUCGGGAUAAGCCUGGGAAACUGGGUCUAAUACCGGAUAGGACCACUGCCUGCAUGGGUGGUGGUGGAAAGCUUUUGCGGUGUGGGAUGGGCCCGCGGCCUAUCAGCUCGUUGGUGGGGUGAUGGCCUACCAAGGCGACGACGGGUAGCCGGCCUGAGAGGGGGACCGGCCACACUGGGACUGAGAUACGGCCCAGACUCCUACGGGAGGCAGCAGUGGGGAAUAUUGCACAAUGGGCGCAAGCCUGAUGCAGCGACGCCGCGUGAGGGAUGACGGCCUUCGGGUUGUAAACCUCUUUCAGCACCGACGAAGCGCAAGUGGCGGUAGGUGCAGAAGAAGGACCGGCCAACUACGUGCCAGCCGCCGCAGUAA
RNAcentral lists this ribosomal RNA (478 nucleotides) under uncultured bacterium. Its description in RNAcentral is "partial 16S ribosomal RNA". It matches the Rfam family "Bacterial small subunit ribosomal RNA", at positions 28 to 523 of the family's 1533-position model. The record is from RNAcentral.